AUAUAUAUAUUCAACCUAUAUAUAUUUAUUGUACUCAAUAUAUAUAUCAAGAGGAAAUGCAGGUAUUGGUCUUGUUCCCUCUAAUCAAUUUAUGUAUUUGAGUUGUUUCCAUUUUAGAGAAAAUUACAAAAACAAAAGACCAGAAGGGUUAAAAUAUCACAGAACGUUCUGUCCUCAUUACUUGUGUAAAGUCCCCACUGCAUCAAAGGGACAGCAUGUUAAAUCAAUAGAGACUUGAGCUGUUAAUUUCCAAAAAGGAAGAGAUGAUUGAACUAAAAUAGCCCAUGUCGAGUCUCUGCCCACUGGGAAUGGAAGUCCCUUUAUUUUCAGGUCUUUCUACAAUUAGGUCUGGUUUUCAAACACAGGUCUGGCAGACUCCAAAACCCAUGAUCUCCACAUUGCCACACUGCUCCCAGUGGAAAAGACCUGGUUUCUGCCAGGACGUGUUCACAGUCUAGUCAGGAAGACACACACAGGAAACAAGCACGAGGGCCAGAGGGAGACUCUGGCUAUGGGAGCAGGCAGGGGAAUCUUGCUCCCAAAACCUUUAUAAUCUCUGCCUCAACUGAGCUUGCUUCAGCUUUCAAGAAACCUGGGGUAGAACCCAGAGGGGUUUGAGCAGGCAAUGGCACUCCAGUGAGGAUUCCUGGCCAAAGUGAGUACGACUGGGUCUGGGACAUAAAUAGCUGCUUCAUCAUCAAAGCCUCCUGCCCAAGAGAAGGCUUUCAUGAGAACUCAGGCUCAUUGUGUGAAAAUUCAGAUGACUGAACUAUAAUUAGCCCGAUUAGUCAACAUUUUAAUUCAUAGGAUUCUGGCUUUGAUGUGUUCCUUUCUCACAGAAUCAAAGCUAAUAAUUCUGGAAACAUAAUUGGGAGCUGAGUGCCAGCUUGAAGCUUGGGGAGCUCCCUCACCUCUUUGGCAAGCUCUGCUUCCAAGACAGCCGCUUCCUGGCCAUGAAUGAACCUGGCCCAGGCACCUCCACCUUGCCCUUUAGCUCCUUGCUUCCCAGGACAUUUCCUGAGCACCUUUUCUCUGUGAGUCAAGAUCACUAGAAUUAGGUUCUAAAUUUAGUGGUUGACAGUAAACUGUGAUGUCAGUAUCUCUAAAGCCUGAGCCCAUACAUUAUAGGUGCUCAAUAAACCUUUUUUUGGAUGUUGCUAGACAAACAAUGGAGCAGAUCAUUGACUGCUUAUCCAAGAA
Molecule: long non-coding RNA, 1200 nt
Organism: Myotis brandtii (Brandt's bat)
Lineage: Eukaryota; Metazoa; Chordata; Mammalia; Chiroptera; Vespertilionidae
Exons: 3
Source: RefSeq, a predicted model, not a curated record